Molecule: ribosomal RNA, 253 nt
Filed under: uncultured bacterium
Lineage: Bacteria
Description: partial 16S ribosomal RNA
Rfam family: Bacterial small subunit ribosomal RNA
Source: RNAcentral
GACAGAGGCCCCAAGCGUUGGGCGGAUUCACUGGGCUUAAAGCGUGUGUAGGCGGUUGGUUAAGUGUCUUGUGAAAUCCCACGGCUCACCCGUGGAACUGCUGGGCAUACUGGCGAUCUUGGGCCAACUAGGGGCAGCCGGAACAAGCGGUGGAGCGGUGAAAUGCGUAGAUAUCGCUUGGAACGCCAAAGGUGAAAACAGGCUGCUGGGGUUGUGCCGACGCUGAGACACGAAAGCCAGGGGAGCAAACGGG